GUUACCUAAGAAAAUAUAAUAAAAAUUGUUGUAGUAGUAUACAUUCUAGGCAUUAUGAAAUAUCAAGGUAUAUAUUUUUUUUUAUGGCAUUUCAUCAAACAUAAUGUGCACUUGGGAUUUGGGAAAGGAAUGACACAAACUAUAUAUAUAUAUAUAUAUAUAGAGGGAGCGGAUUCCGUCCGGACUCUCGCAUUUUAGUUGUUUUUAAAAAAAAAUGACAAAAAAAAAAUCCACAUUUUAGUAGCGUGCGGGAGUACUCCGGACUGGAUCCGUUCCGUAUAUAUAUGUCACUGCCAUUUCUUUAACUCAUAAGCGCCAGGUUGGAUCCAACAUCUACAUAUAUAUUUGGAACGGUGGGAGUAAUUAAUAGGCUGGAAUCAGAAUAUAAAGGGGAACAGAGUUCUGCACCUGCUUAGAGGUACCAAGUCUCAUCCUUGUUUCCAGCCUUGCUUCUUCAGUAGUUGCAUAUACGAAUGAAUGCACUAUUAAAACUCAUACUUAUUGCAAAACAAAACAGAAUGAGCAAAAGACAACCAUAUAUAUAUAUAUAUAUAUAUAUAUAUAUAUAUAUAUAUAUACACACAAUUAUAUCAAGAGAGAAUAAGAGAAAACAUUACCUGAAACCAAAAUCGAAAUUUGUUGAGGCGAUGGAUGUUGCUGCAGAAGAGAGGAAGGGAAGAGAAGAGGUAGCUUGGAAGAUCUAAUGGAAAGGGGUGAGGAUUUUUGUUUGCACUGUUGAUUUGAAUGAUUGGAUUAGGGAAUCCAGACUGGAUGAAUCAUGGAAGCACUCUUAAUCUUACAAAAAAAAUUCUUGUCGCGAAUACCGUAACACCUGUUGCCACCAUUAUCGCCCAUGCAUCAACCACAUAAUCCAUAACACCCUAGUCCAUAUAGAAAGAAAUGAAAUUUUUUUGUGUAUAAAAAUUUAAGUUACGAAUCUUUUAAUUAUGAUUUUUGGGUGAGCUUGUGGUAGGAUAAGAUGAUCAAAUAAUAUAUUAUUGU
RNAcentral lists this long non-coding RNA (1002 nucleotides) under Panax ginseng (ginseng). Its description in RNAcentral is "long non-coding RNA (PGIN_LNC001883)". The record is from RNAcentral. Lineage: Eukaryota; Viridiplantae; Streptophyta; Magnoliopsida; Apiales; Araliaceae.